RNAcentral lists this ribosomal RNA (886 nucleotides) under uncultured bacterium. Its description in RNAcentral is "bacterial SSU rRNA". It matches the Rfam family "Bacterial small subunit ribosomal RNA", at positions 28 to 897 of the family's 1533-position model. The record is from RNAcentral.
AGUGAACGCUGGCGGCGUGCCUAACACAUGCAAGUCGAACGCGAAAGUCCCGCAAGGGAUAAGUAGAGUGGCAGACGGGUGAGUAAUGCAUAGGUAAUCUACCCUUGAGUGGGGGAUAACUCCGGGAAACCGGUGCUAAUCCCGCAUGACUUCCUGAUGCGCAGGCGUCAGGAUCAAAGGGGGGGAUCCUUCGGGACCUCCUGCUUGAGGAUGAGCCUAUGUCCUAUUAGCUAGUUGGUGAGGUAACGGCCCACCAAGGCAAUGAUGGGUAGCCGAGCUGAGAGGCUGAUCGGCCACACUGGAACUGAAACACGGUCCAGACUCCUACGGGAGGCAGCAGUGGGGAAUUUUGCGCAAUGGGCGAAAGCCUGACGCAGCGACGCCGCGUGAGGGAUGAAGGUCCUAGGAUUGUAAACCUCUGUCAGGAAGCAUUAAAUGCACGGGUAUCAACACCACCCGUGCUUGACUUAACUUCCAGAGGAAGCCCCGGCUAACUACGUGCCAGCAGCCGCGGUAAUACGUAGGGGGCAAGCGUUACUCGGAUUUAUUAGGCGUAAAGAGAAUUAAGGCGGUCAUGUAAGUCAGUGGUGAAAUCCCCCGGCUCAACUGGGGAAUUGCCUUUGAUACUGCGUGACUUGAGGACAGGAGAGGAAGGCGGAAUUCCCGGUGUAGCGGUGGAAUGCGUAGAUAUCGGGAGGAACACCUGAGGCGAAGGCGGCUUUCUGGACUGGUCCUGACGCUGAUAUUCGAAAGCUAGGGGAGCAAACAGGAUUAGAUACCCUGGUAGUCCUAGCUGUAAACGAUGGAUACUAGAUCUUGCAUGAUUUUGCUUGGUCGAAGCUAACGCGUUAAGUAUCCCGCCUGGGGAGUACGGUCGCAAGGCUGA